This 327-nucleotide unclassified non-coding RNA is filed under the name soil metagenome. Its description in RNAcentral is "partial contains 5.8S ribosomal RNA, internal transcribed spacer 2, and large subunit ribosomal RNA". The stretch from base 1 to 120 matches the Rfam family "5.8S ribosomal RNA", at positions 35 to 154 of the family's 154-position model. The record is from RNAcentral.
GAUGAAGAACGCAGCGAAAUGCGAUAAGUAAUGUGAAUUGCAGAAUUCAGUGAAUCAUCGAAUCUUUGAACGCACAUUGCGCCCCUUGGUAUUCCGAGGGGCAUGCCUGUUCGAGCGUCAUUAUAACCCCUCAAGCUCAGCUUGGUGUUGGGGCCUGCCGCACGGGCAGCCCUUAAAAUCAGUGGCGGUGCCAUCUGGCUCUAAGCGUAGUAAUUCUUCUCGCUAUAGAGUCCCGGUGGAUGCUUGCCAUUAACCCCCAAUUUUCUAUGGUUGACCUCGGAUCAGGUAGGGAUACCCGCUGAACUUAAGCAUAUCAAUAGCGGAGGA